GGACUUGUAGUGCUUACCAUAGGCUGUGUUCUUACACUGACUGUGUAGAAGAAGCCUGAGUAAAUCCUACCUGAUACACACCCAAGCCCAGGCCCUGUGCCUGGUCUGUAUUAUGAACAUGGAAUUGAGA
Small nucleolar RNA from Otolemur garnettii (small-eared galago), 130 nucleotides. Lineage: Eukaryota; Metazoa; Chordata; Mammalia; Primates; Galagidae. The record is from Ensembl.